This is an RNA transcript of Anopheles merus, 836 nucleotides long. RefSeq lists it as uncharacterized. Lineage: Eukaryota; Metazoa; Arthropoda; Insecta; Diptera; Culicidae. The transcript has 3 exons. The record is from RefSeq and is a predicted model, not a curated record.
GUACCCUUUCACUGCUUAAGCCAUCCACAUCUGCUCAUCAUCCGUACUUUGUACAUCUACGCAAGAUGAACUUCGUAUUAGGAAAGCCACUACUCCUGCUGAUGCUACUCUUCCUACAAUAUAUACACCCAGGAUGCACAUCGCACUACUCCCACCACCACGGCCACUAUUCCCAUUAUCACACAUUUUACCAAACGACCACGCUAACCUGCCUGCAAUCGGUAACGCAACCCACCGUCACGCAAACCGUUCCGGUAACAGACUUUGCAACCGUCACCAAUACCGCACGCACUUACACCCUUGUCACACCGACCCCAGUGAUGCUUACGGAAAUGUCCACCCUCACACUAUCGUCCACCGUAUUGACCAUCACACCGAGCACGACCAUUACCAGCACCGGUACGAGCAUCGUCACUUCAACACCGCCGCUCGUAUCAACCGUCACCAGCAGCACCAGCACCAUUCUCUUCUCGACCACGAUCGUUGUGCGGCAAACGAUCACCAUCACCUCCACGAGCACGAUCAUUUCGACCAGAACGUCCAGACUUCCAAUGUGUAAUUAGUGGACUUCGGAUUCGGUUGCUCCCGGGACUUGUUUAGUGACAUUUCACCUGUGUGCGGUCUGUGUGCGUACGAUGAGGGUAAUAAAAUUCUUAUUAUCAUCCCGGGGAGCGGACAGCGUCUUCCCUUUCUGCAGUUGCAUUCUUUUAAGGUGUGCCAAACUUUACCUACAAACAACAUCAGCAUACAAGUGUUCUUGGAACGGUUCAGUUGUUAGACGCUCGACGGCACGGAACAACCUUCAACAACCUGAUCGCAUGGCUUACGGUUGGAGC